This 497-nucleotide ribosomal RNA is filed under the name uncultured bacterium. RNAcentral's name for it is "partial 16S ribosomal RNA". It matches the Rfam family "Bacterial small subunit ribosomal RNA", at positions 28 to 507 of the family's 1533-position model. The record is from RNAcentral.
GAUGAACGCUGGCGGCGUGCCUAAUACAUGCAAGUCGAGCGAACAGACGAGGCUCUUGCUCCUCUGACGUUAGCGACGGAUGGGUGAGUAGCACGUGGAUUACCUACCUCUAAGACUGGGAUAACUUCGGGUAACCGGAGCUCAUACCGGAUAAUAUAUUGAACCUCAUGGUUCAAUAGUGAAAUACGGUUUUGCUGUCACUUCUACCUGGCUCCUCGCCGGAUUAGCUAGUUGGUAACGUAACGGCUUACCAAGGCAACGAUGCGUAGCCGACCUGAGAGGGUGAUCGGCCACACUGGAACUGAGACACGGUCCAGACUCCUACGGGAGGCAGCAGUAGGGAAUCGUCCGCAAUGGGCGAAAGCCUGACGGAGCAACGCCGCGUGAGUGAUGAAGGUCUUCGGAUCGUAAAACUCUGUUAUUAGGGAAGAACAAAUGUGUAAGUAACUAUGCACGUCUUGACGGUACCUAAUCAGAAAGCCACGGCUAACUACGUG